RNAcentral lists this ribosomal RNA (497 nucleotides) under uncultured bacterium. RNAcentral's name for it is "partial 16S ribosomal RNA". It matches the Rfam family "Bacterial small subunit ribosomal RNA", at positions 28 to 507 of the family's 1533-position model. The record is from RNAcentral.
GAUGAACGCUGGCGGCGUGCCUAAUACAUGCAAGUCGAGCGAACAGACGAGGAGCUUGCUCCUCUGACGUUAGCGGCGGACGGGUGAGUAACACGUGGAUAACCUACCUAUAAGACUGGGAUAACUUCGGGAAACCGGAGCUAAUACCGGAUAAUAUAUUGAACCGCAUGGUUCAAUAGUGAAAGACGGUUUUGCUGUCACUUAUAGAUGGAUCCGCGCCGCAUUAGCUAGUUGGUAAGGUAACGGCUCACCAAGGCAACGAUGCGUAGCCGACCUGAGAGGGUGAUCGGCCACACUGGAACUGAGACACGGUCCAGACUCCUACGGGAGGCAGCAGUAGGGAAUCUUCCGCAAUGGGCGAAAGCCUGACGGAGCAACGCCGCGUGAGUGAUGAAGGCCUUCGGAUCGUAAAACUCUGUUAUUAGGGAAGAACAAAUGUGUAAGUAACUAUGCACGUCUUGACGGUACCUAAUCAGAAAGCCACGGCUAACUACGUG